RNAcentral lists this unclassified non-coding RNA (257 nucleotides) under rhizosphere metagenome. RNAcentral's name for it is "partial ribosomal RNA internal transcribed spacer region". The record is from RNAcentral.
GUAGGUGAACCUGCGGAAGGAUCAUUACCGAGAGAGGAGUUUCGCGCUCCGGGGGUCUUCGACCCCCAAACUCUUCACCCUAUGUCUAUCUACCUUUGUUGCUUUGGCGGGUCCCGGGGUCAACCUUGCAUCCAAGCCUUGUGGCCAAAGGGAUGAGCGCCCGCCAGAGGCUUUCGAAUAAAUCUUUUCAUACAGUGGGAUGUCGGGCUUAGAGGGAUAAUUCAUAAAAACUUUCAACAACGGAUCUCUUGGUUCUG